GGCAUACCUCCUCCGAUUUUGCUAAAACUCAUGUAUCAUAUGUAUUUUAACUCGUAGAAGCCGGAUCCAAAAGUAAAAAUAGUUACUCAGCUCUAUAAAGCAAGAAAGAAAUUGUUAAAGAUAGAGGUAUGAUAGGUUAGGAAACCUGCCAUUGCAAAGCAAAGUCUGUUCGUUGUACUUACUGUAUUAGUGUAGCGCAGUAUACAACUAAACUUUUAUAAUUAUUGUACAUAAGAUAGGACUUAUUUUGUAUUAUACAUGAAAUAACUCCUAUCUUGUGUACAAUAAUUAUAAAAGAAUAUAUCUUUAAAUCUUCGCCUUAUAUGUACUAAAAUGG
This is a long non-coding RNA of Harpegnathos saltator (Jerdon's jumping ant), 337 nucleotides long. RefSeq lists it as uncharacterized. The transcript is spliced from 3 exons. Lineage: Eukaryota; Metazoa; Arthropoda; Insecta; Hymenoptera; Formicidae. The record is from RefSeq and is a predicted model, not a curated record.